Molecule: long non-coding RNA, 469 nt
Filed under: Musa acuminata (dwarf banana)
Lineage: Eukaryota; Viridiplantae; Streptophyta; Magnoliopsida; Zingiberales; Musaceae
Description: long non-coding RNA (MACU_LNC006986)
Source: RNAcentral
UUGUGCCGGAGGAACAUGUCAGAAGAUUGGACGUCGGGCCGGUGGAUCGGUCGACGUAUCGACAGAAGGCUUCGGGCUGUGGACUCGGGCAUCGGGCCAAGAAGAGCGGGUAUUGUGCCAAGGAUAUCAGAGUUGCGGAGUCAACUGGCCGAUUGGGCAAUAGACUGCAGGAAAGGACGAUGCGCCGAAGAAUCGGACGAAGCGUCGAGGGACCAAUGACAUGCCGGACAACUUGAUUAAUUGCUUAGGAUUAAUUGUCUCGAUCGAAGUGUUUGUUUUAAGUGUGCAGGAUUAACUACGAUGAAAGAUAGACAAGCAGCAGGAGUUGCGCCGGAGUCAAGUUCAUGAUCACGUUGGGAGUUCGAGAGUUCGACGGAAGUUCGGACGGUCGUCGGAGGUUCUGCGAGAACAGAUCCGAGAAGUCCAGAAGCUUGCCAAGCGAACCUCGUCGGAACUUGCCAAAUGGAUC